Molecule: ribosomal RNA, 253 nt
Filed under: uncultured bacterium
Lineage: Bacteria
Description: partial 16S ribosomal RNA
Rfam family: Bacterial small subunit ribosomal RNA
Source: RNAcentral
UACGGAGGGUGCAAGCGUUAAUCGGAAUGACUGGGCGUAAAGGGCAUGCAGGCGGUCUGUCAAGUCGGAUGUGAAAUCCCCGGGCUUAACCCGGGAACGGCAUUCGAAACUGGCAGGCUGGAGUCUCGUAGAGGGGGGUAGAAUUCCAGGUGUAGCGGUGAAAUGCGUAGAGAUCUGGAGGAAUACCGGUGGCGAAGGCGGCCCCCUGGACGAAGACUGACGCUCAGGUGCGAAAGCGUGGGGAGCAAACAGG